RNAcentral lists this long non-coding RNA (289 nucleotides) under Rattus norvegicus (Norway rat). RNAcentral's name for it is "long non-coding RNA NONRATT030640". Lineage: Eukaryota; Metazoa; Chordata; Mammalia; Rodentia; Muridae. The record is from RNAcentral.
GUACAUUGACCAGGAAGAGCUGAAUAAGAUGAAGCCUAUCUGGACCAGAAAUCUGGAUGCCAUCACUCAAGAGGAAUAUGGUGAAUUCUAUAAGAGCCUCACCAAUGACUGUGAAGACCACUUGGCAGUCAAGCACUGCAGAAAGGCAGUUGGAAUUCAGGGCAUUGUUCUUCAUUCCCCAGAGAGCUCCCUUUGACCUCUUUGAGAACAACAAGAAGAACAACAUCAAAUUAUAUGUCUGUCGUGUGUUCAUCAUGGAUAGCUGUGAUGAGCUGAUACCUGAGUACCU